CCAGGUUUCUGUUGUCCUUUAUUGCCUAUCUGGGUGUAGGCUGUAAACUUUUACAAUGGGGAGAGAAGGGAUCACACCCUCUCAGCCCCCAUAGUUCUAGAAACAAAGGUAGGACGACUGAGACACCUGACUUGCUUCCAAGCCUACAAUUGAGGACCUAGGACAACUGACAAAAAGCUGACAAAGAAAGAUAAGAAUUUUUACCAAGUUUAGCUCUCCUGGAUCUCUACCUGGAGUACCUGAUGGAGAAUGGAAGACUCACUGAAAUUGAAAAUGCCUUUUUCCUAAGACCCUACAAACUGAAUCAGUCAACUUGGCUUUGAAGAAACAUCACCACAAGAGCCUAUAUUUGGAAAAACUUUGUACAUGCAAAGCGCAAAGCAAAAAAAAAUCUGUAAAAUUGCCGUUUGUAAUUUCAACUGACUGUUCUCCAGAGACUCUACAGAAACUCCAGAGAUUAGCCAUUAUUUUUUGCAUAAGUCAUAAGAAUCCACUCUAAUAAGAAAUAUUCCUUAUUAAAGAUUUGUUCACUUGCAUCAUAUAUAGAGGCCUAACUUUGACAGCCAGUCUUCAGCACCAUCUCCUGAAAUGAGACAUAACUGUAUAAUUGGACAGACAUAUUUCCAGAAAUGGGAGACUGUGUUAAUGAGAUUCUUUGCUACUCAGCUACUAAUUUUUCUCUCUACAGCUAACUCAGCUUUUCGUGUAUGAGACUUCUAGGGAAAUUUCAUACAAGAUAAUGUUGGAGCUCAGAAAAUGAUACCCCAAGGACUGGUAGUUUGACAUGUUGAGAGGCCUUUGAAGCUGCCUCAGAAUCGAGGACCCUUUGUCCUUUGCUUGGCCUCAUUCCUCGAUCCCAGCCCCAAGUGGAGGGAGGGAUUCUCUGGGAUUUCUUUAUCUAAGAAAGCUUAUUUUGGGGAAAAAAAUGCAAUUAUCUUGGGACCUUCUCUCUAGGGAACUCAUCAAAUAAUUGGAAAAGAUCAACUACCAGAGAAGAGAAGAGACUAGUAGUCACCACAGCACUCAGGUAAAAUAUUCUUGCAUUCUUUGAGGGUAGAUCCAAGAGAGUACCUAAGAAACUCUAUCUUCAUAGCAAGAUGACCACUGUUCCUUGGAACCAUUGUCUCAGCACUGGGCUUAUUCAUUCAUCCCAUUUUCCCCUCCCUUAUGAAGAAGGUGUUUAAGCCUCAACCAUCUGAUUCCUCUUUUAGUUCAUAUUUUGUAUGAUACUUGUACACACAUGUGCACAUAGUAGUAAUUAUUUCCUUCAUUAGAACGUUCAUAACUUUUGUAGGUUUGUCAGUCUUUGUAGGGUAAGCCUCAACCAAACCUGUAAAUUUAUCAACAAAAACCAACAAAUAGCAAAAUUUUCCAGGGUUCUGAGGCAUUAUAGUAAAAUCCAAUUGCCAGUCUUCUCUAGGAUAUGUUCCUUUCCACUGAGUUUCUUGCCUAAAGGUGGCUUUUAUGCCUUCUGGAGGCUUUGGAUUAUUUUUCAGGCAAGUAGAACAACGUUGAACU
This 1518-nucleotide long non-coding RNA is filed under the name Homo sapiens (human). RNAcentral's name for it is "HSALNT0205103". The record is from RNAcentral. Lineage: Eukaryota; Metazoa; Chordata; Mammalia; Primates; Hominidae.